This 721-nucleotide long non-coding RNA is filed under the name Rattus norvegicus (Norway rat). RNAcentral describes it as "long non-coding RNA NONRATT006798". Lineage: Eukaryota; Metazoa; Chordata; Mammalia; Rodentia; Muridae. The record is from RNAcentral.
AGCUGUGGAAGUAUGGAGCUGCAACAAAGUUUCAUCCACAAGAGACACCAGACAUUCCUCGCUACAAAGGCAUCUAUUCCUGUCUAUUCAUGUGCAUAUGUAUUUUUUUCUUUCCCCCAUUUGUUCACAUUAAGAAUUAUCUGAUUGACUGUGUUGGUCUGUGCUGAUUAAAUUUGAUGUGAAAUCAGGUUGAGAAACCAUCUUGUGUGGAUGGCAGCUUUGCUCAUAUUUCCCAAGGGGCCAUGAGCCACAUUGAGAAGCUGCUCAGUUAAUUUGUUAUAAUUGUUUUUAUUCUCAAAAUUAUAGCUCUAACAUUUGCAUAUAACGGAAGUAGUUAUCAUGUUAGUAAUACCUCUAACACUAUAAACCCCACCCCCAAAUUAGCCAGUAAUCCUGUAGGAAGGGACUGAAUGAUCAGAUGUUGAUUCAUAUGAGUAGAAUGUAAAUGUAUCACUGAGCACUGUUUUCUAGUGUAUCAAGUUCUUUUACGCAUCAUCGCUCACUCCGCUAUGCUGUUGUCAUGAUGUGCGUAACAGGGAGUGUGGCUAGUGACGGAGAUAGACCUGGAUGCACUGUAAAGCUCAGUGAAGGUCUCAGAAUUCCCACUCCGGUUGCCUCUUGUAAUGUGGACCUCUUCUCACAUACAUAGGGCUAAUAUAAAGACCUUUUUCUGCACUAUAUGCACACAGGGUAACUAAAACAAAGCAACUUUUAAUACAUU